CGGUCAAAUCACGCUGAAACACCGGUUCUCGUUCGAUCACCGAAGUUAAGCAUCGUAGAGCCAGGUCAGUACUUAGAUGGGGGACCGCUUGGGAACACCUAGUACUGUAAG
Acanthosepion pharaonis is the source of this 111-nucleotide non-coding RNA. The record is from the annotation of a GenBank genome assembly. Lineage: Eukaryota; Metazoa; Mollusca; Cephalopoda; Sepiida; Sepiidae.